RNAcentral lists this ribosomal RNA (496 nucleotides) under uncultured bacterium. Its description in RNAcentral is "partial 16S ribosomal RNA". It matches the Rfam family "Bacterial small subunit ribosomal RNA", at positions 28 to 506 of the family's 1533-position model. The record is from RNAcentral.
GAUGAACGCUGGCGGCGUGCCUAAUACAUGCAAGUCGAGCGAACGGACGAGAAGCUUGCUUCUCUGAUGUUAGCGGCGGACGGGUGAGUAACACGUGGAUAACCUACCUAUAAGACUGGGAUAACUUCGGGAAACCGUAGCUAAUACCGGAUAAUAUUUUGAACCGCAUGGUUCAAAAGUGAAAGACGGUCUUGCUGUCACUUAUAGAUGGAUCCGCGCUGCAUUAGCUAGUUGGUAAGGUAACGGCUUACCAAGGCAACGAUGCAUAGCCGACCUGAGAGGGUGAUCGGCCACACUGGAACUGAGACACGGUCCAGACUCCUACGGGAGGCAGCAGUAGGGAAUCUUCCGCAAUGGGCGAAAGCCUGACGGAGCAACGCCGCGUGAGUGAUGAAGGUCUUCGGAUCGUAAAACUCUGUUACUAGGGAAGAACAUAUGUGUAAGUAACUGUGCACAUCUUGACGGUACCUAAUCAGAAAGCCACGGCUAACUACGU